This 82-nucleotide transfer RNA is filed under the name Armatimonadota bacterium. Its description in RNAcentral is "Armatimonadetes bacterium tRNA-Leu". It matches the Rfam family "tRNA". Rfam says of the family: Transfer RNA (tRNA) molecules are approximately 80 nucleotides in length. Their secondary structure includes four short double-helical elements and three loops (D, anti-codon, and T loops). Lineage: Bacteria; Bacillati; Armatimonadota. The record is from RNAcentral.
GGGCGAGUGGUGAAAUUGGCAGACACGCUAGACUUAGGAUCUAGUGCCGUAAGGCGUAGGGGUUCAAGUCCCCUCUCGCCCA